AGAGUUUGAUCCUGGCUCAGGAUGAACGCUAGCUACAGGCUUAACACAUGCAAGUCGAGGGGGAACGACAUUGGAAGCUUGCUUCCUUUGGGCGUCGACCGGCGCACGGGUGAGUAACGCGUAUCCAACCUUCCCGCAAGUAAGGGAUAACCCGUAGAAAUGCGGCCUAAUACCUUAUGUUUUCCUUAGAGGGCAUCUGAUGAGGAACAAAGAUCCGUCGCUUGCGGAUGGGGAUGCGUCUGAUUAGUUAGUCGGCGGGGUAACGGCCCACCGAGACGACGAUCAGUAGGGGUUCUGAGAGGAAAGUCCCCCACAUUGGAACUGAGACACGGUCCAAACUCCUACGGGAGGCAGCAGUGAGGAAUAUUGGUCAAUGGGCGGAAGCCUGAACCAGCCAAGUAGCGUGCAGGACGACGGCCCUAUGGGUUGUAAACUGCUUUUAUGCGGGGAUAAAGUGGGCCACGUGUGGCCUUUUGCAGGUACCGCAUGAAUAAGGACCGGCUAAUUCCGUGCCAGCAGCCGCGGUAAUACGGAAGGUCCGGGCGUUAUCCGGAUUUAUUGGGUUUAAAGGGAGCGCAGGCCGCCGGGCAAGCGUGUUGUGAAAUGCAGUCGCUCAACGUCUGCACUGCAGCGCGAACUGCCCAGCUUGAGUGCGCGC
Molecule: ribosomal RNA, 658 nt
Filed under: uncultured bacterium
Lineage: Bacteria
Description: bacterial SSU rRNA
Rfam family: Bacterial small subunit ribosomal RNA
Source: RNAcentral